UACAGAGGUCUCAAGCGUUGUUCGGAAUCACUGGGCGUAAAGCGUACGCAGGCGGACCGUUAAGUCGGGUGUGAAAGCCCGGGGCUCAACCCCGGAACUGCAUUCGAUACUGGCGGUCUUGAAUACGGGAGAGGUGAGUGGAAUUCCUGGUGUAGAGGUGAAAUUCGUAGAUAUCAGGAGGAACACCGGUGGCGAAAGCGGCUCACUGGCCCGAUAUUGACGCUCAUGUACGAAAGCGUGGGGAGCAAACAGG
RNAcentral lists this ribosomal RNA (253 nucleotides) under uncultured bacterium. RNAcentral's name for it is "partial 16S ribosomal RNA". It matches the Rfam family "Bacterial small subunit ribosomal RNA", at positions 524 to 776 of the family's 1533-position model. The record is from RNAcentral.